ACGACAGCAGAGUGGGGGUGCCAGGGGCUGGGGAGAGGGCAGGGGGGAGUGAGUGUUUAGUGGGGACAGAAUUUCUGUUGGGGAUGAUAAGAAAGUUUUGGGGAUAGGUAGAUGUGAUGGUCGUAGGACA
Ceratotherium simum simum (southern white rhinoceros) is the source of this 130-nucleotide non-coding RNA. Lineage: Eukaryota; Metazoa; Chordata; Mammalia; Perissodactyla; Rhinocerotidae. The record is from RefSeq and is a predicted model, not a curated record.